UAUUACCGCGGCUGCUGGCACGAAGUUAGCCGGUGCUUAUUCUGUCGGUAACGUCAAAACAGCAAGGUAUUAACUUACUGCCCUUCCUCCCAACUUAAAGUGCUUUACAAUCCGAAGACCUUCUUCACACACGCGGCAUGGCUGGAUCAGGCUUUCGCCCAUUGUCCAAUAUUCCCCACUGCUGCCUCCCGUAGGA
This 196-nucleotide ribosomal RNA is filed under the name uncultured Pseudomonas sp. RNAcentral's name for it is "partial 16S ribosomal RNA". The record is from RNAcentral. Lineage: Bacteria; Pseudomonadati; Pseudomonadota; Gammaproteobacteria; Pseudomonadales; Pseudomonadaceae.